Long non-coding RNA from Anopheles funestus (African malaria mosquito), 2179 nucleotides. RefSeq lists it as uncharacterized. The record is from RefSeq and is a predicted model, not a curated record. NCBI's taxonomy places the organism in Eukaryota, Metazoa, Arthropoda, Insecta, Diptera, Culicidae. The transcript is spliced from 5 exons.
UACCCUAUCGACAAAGUGUUCAUCGAUGGAUGAAUUUUUUGAAAAGGGGGUGAAAAUUUUGCUCGAAUCACCCUAAAAUGAGAGUGUGUGCGUGGCUCGCUGUAUCGCGAUAGAGUUCGGCGUGUGUCGAAUGAAUGUUCAAAAAGGUCGUAGUAGGCUAAAAACCUGUCUUUCUGUUUUCGCUCGGUCGCUGUACAUUUUCAUACGGGAAUAGUUAGUGAAUUGUGUAUUGCGCCAGUUCGUGGACUGUGUAUUCGAUUGUGAAAUAGUGUUGUCCAAGUUGUUCCACUUCUAGUUCUAAAAGGAUGUUCCUGUGACGGCACUGGUAAGUUGUACCGCCAGCGUGAUAACCUGUUGGAGCAGACUUCGGCUGAAUACGACGAUGCAGAGGCAGGACAAACUGUUUCAAGACAUUUAAAAAGCGACGCGUGGGGACAUAUGGCCACAGUUAACAGUUAACCUCAUAUCUAGAGGUUUGGUGUACACAAAUCAGGAAGCAGGAAGGAUCUGGAAGCAGGAUGCAAGUGCCGUAGUGUAAAAUACUUCGUCAAAAAAGCGCGUGUUUUCUAACAACUGUGCCCACGCGUCCCUUGGCCUACAGCUUUAAAGGUAGGCUACCGUGUACAAUCAAUGUCAUGGCGUCUAACGCAAUCGGUUGAACAUUCUGUAUCCUUUUCCUCUUGCAGCUAACUUUCAUACUUCUUGUUGGUCGCCCUCGGAUAGAGCGUAUGAAUUGACGGCCACAUCUUUUUCGCAUCAUUUGAAAGGAACAAAUUAUUGGACAUGCUCGUGAUUAUUCAGUUCUAUGAUGCACCUGCCAAUGGAAGUGAAAGACAAGCCAACCUUAGUAUUGGUUGUUUUUGCUGCUGAUCGGUUCUAAAUCGGAUACUGGAAACCGCUGCUGUUAGUGCUCUGCAUUGGAUUUUUUCUUCGCUUUGCUCACAGUGCGUGACCUUGGUUUGUUGUGGCAAUCUAUCAGUCAAUUAACAGUCCCUUCAGGUAAGUAUUGUCCAUUCUUAUGGACGAUUGUUGUAUUGUUUUACGUAUGUAUAUCUAAUGAAGCAUACUUUUUCAGCAAAACAAGUUCGAUCCUCCGUAUACAUCUGAUUUCCGUAAGAAUUACGCCUCAAAUUCGAAGGAGACAAUGUUCUAUCGCCACCUAGCGCCUCUACAAAUCGCGACUGAUACGCCUUGCCGUUGAACAUCCGUCCAAGAUAACAUAAUGCGAUCAGGUCGAAUCAUAAAUUAAUUCAAGAGUCUCCAUUCGAUACGAGAUUAUUAUUGGUUGGAACCUUAUUUUUCGCCGUUUGUUAUACGUAAGUAUGUCUAAAUAAAACGUUUGUUAAUACUUAACUAACAUACGUAUUUUUAUCUCUUCCAUAUCGGUCUUAGAUUCCAUUUGCAGAUACAAAAUGGAGUGAAAGAUGCAAAAAAUCGCGUGUUAAUGCGGUCAAAAUUAAAUCGAGAUCGCACACGAUACCAAACUCAAAGGCACGAUGGAGUUUGUUUCGAAACACGCUGAAAGGUCCAUUGAAUUUUCGCCUGGACCGAUUUGAUUGAUACAGGAUAUGAAUAUCUUCAAAACUUGAUCUUGGAAAGGGGAAAAUGUCCACGUUUAUGAUUUGUUUACGCUGCACCGAUCGAAAUUGGCCGCGGGAUUAUGAAAACGGUAACAAAUCGUGGGCAGAAUAAUGUGGACCAGGAUUAGAAACCCAUGGCUAAGCUGGCGCAGAAUGCGAGCGUUGAAAAUUGUACGCUGUCUGGAUGGAUGCUGGAUUUUUUCAGGGGUAUGGUCUAAAACUAUGUAGAUAAUAAGAAUAGAAAAAAGGUAUGAUAUUGAUAUUGUUAUGGUUCUAAAACAGUACAUGUUAAUUGUUAUCUUUUUAUGCUUGCCAUUAAACCAGGAAAAUUAAAAAAAUAAUAUAACAUUUGUUAAAAACAAAAAAUGUUUUCAUUACUCCGUUGAAAAUCAACGGUGCGGAAAGAACGAUUGAAAAUGAACGUUACAGCGUAAAAAUGAACCUUACGAAAACGCGCUCAUGAAAUCAUGAAUCUCACGCACACACUCUCAAAAAACGGCUUCACAAGAUCUGCUGUGAAGCUUUUGUGAAGCCGCUUGUGAAGCCGUGAAUUUUACUCGAAAUUCACUCUCAGGCGAGCAGUUUGUCGAUAGGGUAUG